This 251-nucleotide ribosomal RNA is filed under the name uncultured prokaryote. Its description in RNAcentral is "partial 16S rRNA". It matches the Rfam family "Bacterial small subunit ribosomal RNA", at positions 525 to 775 of the family's 1533-position model. The record is from RNAcentral.
ACGGGGGGUGCAAGCGUUGUUCGGAAUUAUUGGGCGUAAAGCGCGUGUAGGCGGUUUGUUAAGUCUGAUGUGAAAGCCCUGGGCUCAACCCAGGAAGUGCAUUGGAUACUGGCAGACUUGAAUACGGGAGAGGGUAGUGGAAUUCCUGGUGUAGUAGUGAAAUCCGUAGAUAUCAGGAGGAACACCGGUGGCGAAGGCGGCUACCUGGACCGAUAUAGACGCUGAGCCGCGAAAUCGUGUGUAGCAAACAG